UUAAUUGAAACCAAAUAAGAGGUAUAUCACUGUUAAUGAUAUUAUUGAAUAGCAAUUCCAAUUAAA
Molecule: transfer RNA, 66 nt
Filed under: Doa sp. MJT-2014
Lineage: Eukaryota; Metazoa; Arthropoda; Insecta; Lepidoptera; Doidae
Description: tRNA-Asn
Source: RNAcentral